GAUGAACGCUGGCGGCGUGCCUAAUACAUGCAAGUCGAGCGAACAGACGAGGAGCUUGCUCCUCUGACGUUAGCGGCGGACGGGUGAGUAACACGUGGAUAACCUACCUAUAAGACUGGGAUAACUUCGGGAAACCGGAGCUAAUACCGGAUAAUAUAUUGAACCGCAUGGUUCAAUAGUGAAAGACGGUUUUGCUGUCACUUAUAGAUGGAUCCGCGCCGCAUUAGCUAGUUGGUAAGGUAACGGCUUACCAAGGCAACGAUGCGUAGCCGACCUGAGAGGGUGAUCGGCCACACUGGAACUGAGACACGGUCCAGACUCCUACGGGAGGCAGCAGUAGGGAAUCUUCCGCAAAGGGCGAUAGCCUGACGGAGCAACGCCGCGUGAGUGAUGAAGGUCUUCGGAUCGUAAAACUCUGUUAUUAGGGAAGAACAAAUGUGUAAGUAACUAUGCACGUCUUGACGGUACCUAAUCAGAAAGCCACGGCUAACUACGUG
RNAcentral lists this ribosomal RNA (497 nucleotides) under uncultured bacterium. Its description in RNAcentral is "partial 16S ribosomal RNA". It matches the Rfam family "Bacterial small subunit ribosomal RNA", at positions 28 to 507 of the family's 1533-position model. The record is from RNAcentral.